CCACCGCGUCCCAGCGGGCGCCUGAAUACCCAAGAGCCUGAGAACCUGACCCCCUGGCCUCCUUACAGGUCCGGGGGUGGGGGUGCCCCAGCCAGCUCUGGCUGUGUCCUGCUCAGACCUGCCCCGGGGUGUGGCUGCGUUGGGUAAACAUAGCAACUUCCUGCUCCUGCCUCCCGGAGCAGUUCGAGCCCAGAACGGAUGCAGGAUCCCACCAUUCAUCCUAUACUGCUGGGAGAAGAAGUCGUCUCUCCACGCUUCUCAUAGACUUUAAACUAUUGUCUUCUUUCUCCGAGGGCCGAAGUAAGACUCUGGCUUUUCUUUUUUUUUUCUUUUUUUUUUUUUCUUUUUGGAGCUGAGGAUCGAACCCAGGGCCUUGUGCUUGCUAGGCAAGCGCUCUACCACUGAGCUAAAUCCCCAAGCCCCGACUCUGGCUUUUCUAACUACCAAAAGAUUUACAGUUUGCUCGAGCUGGAAAGGACUGCUUAGAUUUCCUGGAUUUCCCAUGAAUUUUUCUUCUAAUGAAAUUUAUACUGAACCCGAAUUCACGAUCCAACUGGCUUCUACCUUGUAGCUGGAGGUCUGCCAGGGGUUUAGCCACGUGUGCUCAAGGAAUCUAGAUGCUAUCCUUUCCAGCUCUCCACUGCUAGUUCCUGGUUUCAUUCUGCUCGCUACCUUGAUUGCAAGGAUGAAGUUCAAAACCACUACAUCGUUGAGCUAGGACUAUGGAGAAAGUGCUUACCGCUGUGCUUGGUAUAUGUUUAUGGACUAAACACGCCACAUUUCUGAACGGUGAUGGUGAAGGAUGUGAGACAAUUGAGACCAAUGAUGGUUAAAGAAAACUGAAACCAAGUGCCCCAGUGACUGGAGCCUCUUCAGAGCAGCCUCAACACCCCCUGUGUUUCUACAUUUUGUUUUAGUGUUACAGCAACAGGAAAAGAUUCAUUUGUCCAGAAAAGCAAUUGUGCUUAUAAUUGCAGGACAUUAAAGAAAGUAUCUGCAAUGGGAACUGGUACGAUGGCUCAGUGGGUUAGGACACUCGUCUCACAGCCUGGCAAUCUGAGUUGAAUCCCUGGAACCUACAUAGUAGAAGGAGAGAACUGACUCUGGAAGUUGUCUUCUGACCUCCACAUUUGCAUUUGCAUACUUCUGUGAAUGUGCUUAACACACUCACUCACACACACACACACACACACACACACACACACACACACACAGAGAGAGAGAGAGAGAGAGAGAGAGAGACUAAGUGUAAUUAAAAAAUAUUUAUGGCUAUUCAAGUGCCUUCAGAGAGUUAUUUGAACUUCAAAUCUAGCAACCUUGGACAUCACCAAAAUGAAAAACCUGUGACCCAAGAACUGGCACAUCUUGGCUCUUGAUGUCUAGUGAGCCUGUGUUCUUUCUUUCUGUGGUGCCCAUGUCUCACAUAUGCUAAUGACAGAGGCCUUGACAACAUGAGGGCCAGUGCCUUUAGGAAGCAUAAGAUGAUCACUUAGGAUUCAGUUACCUGUGAUUGAUGCUGCUUCUUCUGUUGCUGUUGGUUUGCUGUUUUGAUGGACUUGGUGACCAUGGGCACACCAUUCAGAUUCUGCUGAGAAAAAAGCCAUCAUCACUGUUAGGAAGAGGAUGUGGUCCAAGUACCUGGAAAGAUACCACUUAAUUGUCCCAGGACUACCCUAGGACUUGCUACUGUGGGACUUAGAGGUCUUGGAGGACAUUCCUGAGAGCACUCCUACAUAGGAUCAGACUCCAUUGUCACGGCUUCCAUCCAGUCAGGGGAAAAAGCUCUGAAACCUAGGGAUCAUCACUUUGUCCUUAUAGGCAAAACUAGCUUUCUGGGAGUUGAUGACAAACUCUACUACUGUUUAAAAGUACAAAACAUUAGCAAUAAUCUAUCACAAAGAAAUCCAGCUUUAGGGGAUCCAAAAACCUCCUUCUGGACUUUGCAGGCCUUUGCACUUAAGUACAUACACACAGACACAUACAUACAUACAUACAUACAUACAUACAUACAUACAUACACACACAUACAUAUAUACAUACAUACAUACACACACAGACACAUACAUAUAUACAUACAUACAUACAUACAUACAUACACACACACAUAAGUAAAAAACAAAUCUUAAACAAACCACACAGUUUAAUUGGCCAUUUAUACUUCCUGUGAAAAAGAUGUAAACCGGUAGGGAGAGGGGGUGGUGCCACAGUAUACAGGCAAACCCUCCCCUCUUAAAUAUUAAGAUUUUACGAAUGGAAUUCCCAGGGAGAGUAAUAAAGUUCCCAGCUUAGACAUGUGUCUCUUGAAAUUGAGAUGUCUGAAUUUUGGGUUCCAUAAAAACGGUUAACUUAUAUUGUCUUCUUGAGUUACCCAGGACUCAGAGCUGCCCUUGUCAGAGCCCCAGUGGCUCUUCUGUCCAGCCUGGGUGAGCACCUCUCCGCUGUCAAUCAACCGAGCUUGCUGGCCUGUAGGAAAGGCUACCAGCCAUCUUGGUGCAUGCGGUAUCUGAGGGAGUUCCAGGUGAUCUCAAAACCAGGGGUGAGGGGAACCGAGCUCAUACCUUGUUCUGCAUCAGAGAAGUGAAGUCUGCAGCCGACGUGCUGAAAACAAGAGAAACAGGGAAACAGAGUGGAUCACGCUUGACUGGCUGAAGAGGGGAAGCCACUUCAGAAGGCAGGGUGGGUACUGGUCACAAGGAAGUCUACUGAAUACUCUGGCUCCCAUCAGCAUAGAGGAAUCUGAGAAGUCUAGGUACAGGCUUGGGGACAGCUGUAGGCCCUCAGAAAGGGGAGGAGCUUUGGAAACAGAGCAGAGGUUUCAUCAGAACCUAGGCUGUUGAGGCUCUGAAAAUGACAUCACUGUGCCUCUCUGAAGGGGCCAGAAAACUGGGGCAUCUACUUGAGAUACCAAGGAAGAUGGAGGGCAGCAAGAACAGGGUGACCAUGGAAGACAGCAGGAAGACGAGGGUGAAAACAUUUCCUGGCAAAUUACAACGAACCAUUGAGAAAUACAACUUUUAAAUGUGUAGUAUUCACUAUGGAAUACCCUUAAAGGUCAUGUAUAUAUGCAUGUAUGUAUGUAUGUAUGUAUGUAUGUAUGUAUGUAUGCAUGCAUACUCUGGAAAGAAGUCAAUUGUUGAUGGACCCCACAGCACAUGAAUGCUCAAGACUGCAUUUGUUCUUUCCUACUUUCGCCUUUCUAGAGCAUCAAACAGAACAACUGUCCGCUACUAUUCUAACCACAUCAGCACAAAUGGAAUUGUACUUGACAGUCAUAGGGCGGCUCCUACAUCUACUGGGAUUUAACGCUGGUCUUUUUAUUCCUCCCUAUUCCCAAGUGUUUUGGAAUUAGGGGAGACCCGCUCAAGAUCUUGAGAGGUAGGUAGAUCGAAUGGAUGGAGACAAGAUGGCCAUCUUGGCACACACAUCGAAAGGAGAUGCAUUUGGUCUUAUCUUUCCUGUCCUCUCCAAUGGGCCCAAGAGGCUCUGCCUGGGAAGAGGAUGGAUGGUCAUACUCACUCUUCGUUGACAAAGAUGAGUUCUACAGAAGUUUGUCUGUUGCUUACGUCCACACCUAAAGUGGUAAAGAAACACAGGGAGUGAAAACUAAGGCUGGAGUGGACCCUGUAUGUGGAAGACCAGAGGCUCAGGGCAGGGUCAAAGGUGUGAUGGAUGACCUUCUCCCCUUCUCUCUGAUCCAAAGGCAUAGUGGGGCUGUAGAUGCAGACAGACCCCAGAGUUUUGUAAUAAUGCUUGGGACAAAGAGAAGGGGCGGAGGGUACCUGUAAGCAAAGUAGGAAGGAAGAAUAGGAAUGGGUUAAGGGUAGCUUGGGUUAUGCAGCUGGCAUGGCUAAGAGGCUAGAAUAAAGAGGAGGGGAUGGGCACCAGGUUGGGCAGUGUCCCAAGUGGAGACUGGCAGGGAAUGCAGGGGUGGGGAGUGGGGAGGGGGCAGAGCAAAGGGAAG
Non-coding RNA from Rattus norvegicus (Norway rat), 3961 nucleotides. Lineage: Eukaryota; Metazoa; Chordata; Mammalia; Rodentia; Muridae. The record is from RefSeq and is a predicted model, not a curated record.